GAAUGUCGGCCGAAUGUCCGCCGGAAUGUCGGCCGGCGAACCGCUCUAUCGGAGAAGGCUCCGAUAGAGCGGUUCGCCGGCAAUUUAUCCUCUUGAGCAGUUCACUCGCCGUGUGCCUAAGCUUUCGUUAGUCCCUCCAUCGCCUUGCUCACUCCCGGAGUAAUGACAUUUACACGCUCUCCAUCAUCCAACAUAUGUUUUACUUUGUAACUGUUUCUACUUCCAGGCGCGGAGUGAUAUGCAAACUUUCACAAAAUGAUCGGGCGUCAUAGCAGUUAUGUAUACGCCAUUAUACAACAGUUGGGAACCAAUCAGAUCGCUGGAUUUAGGUCCCCCGUUGUAUAACAUGCAUUUUAUGUGGCAGAUUUAUUCUGACAGCAACCAAUCUUUUCUCGAAGUGGGUUGUGGCAAAACCGCUGUGCUCCAAAACAGCCGUUGAGGUGUCACGAAAAAUUGUGAAUAUCCUCCUCGACUUCGGUCUGGUCGACAGGAUUAUUACAGACCAAGGACGGGAAUUUGUUAAUGAGGUACAGUUAUGUUUCUAAAACAGUGUAUGUGUGACAUAGAAUAUUUGUCAUUGAAUCCUAUCUUUCAAGUUAAUUUACAUAAACUAAUGCAUUGCAGCUCAACCAUGGGGUGUUUGCAGCGCUCGGUGUGAAACACUGCAUCACUUCAGCCUAUCACCCACAGGCCAAUGGACAAGCAGAGAGGACAAAUAAGACAAUAAAGUCAGCCCUGGCCAAGUACUGUGGGGAAGAGCAGAAUGACUGGGAUCUGUAUUUAAGGGGAAUUGUUGCAAGUGUCAACACCUCAAAACAGGUAAUAUUAGGUAAGGACUGCAAAUGGAAACAAUAUUCAACAACGACAGAUUUUCAAUAAACUACUGUAUUCCCUUUUAAUUAAGAGAUCAACCAAGUUCACACCUUAUUGUGCCCUUUUUGUGCGGCACCCUCGCUCCCCUGGGGUGAUUAAUUUAGAGAAGGAUGGGGACUCUCUUACGUCGGUCUUGGACUCAAGCGACGAGAAGCUUGAGGCACAAACUGCAGAAGUCGCAGAUCUGCAUGCAAAGAUAUACGAGAACAUAAAAGUGGCCCAAAAAAGGCAGAAGAAGGCCUUUGAACAGGCGAAGGGGAAGAUAUUUAAGUCUUUCUUAUUCAAAGAUGGGGAUGAGGUCAUGAAGGCCAACAUGAGGAAGCAAAGGCGAAAAGGGGGCAAACUAGUACUGGUCAAGUACUGGUCUGGGCCUUAUGUAAUUUCCUCCUUGUCGUCCAAGGGUGUGGCAACGCUGACCAGCAGGACAGGGGUUCAGCUGAAACAGAAGGCCAAUGUUUCCCAGCUGAAGCCUUUCAUUAGGCCUACAUUCAGAGGCAAUAUAAUUCUUAAUAUGAGGACACUUUGAAUCUCCAUUCCAAAUACACUUUCUUGCACAGUACAUUAUCCUUCUCAUUAGACUCCUGCAAGCCCGAGCCUGAUGUCCCGACCCAAUUGGCCGCUGACCACCAGUAUGCCUCCACUGGAGUGGUCUAUUUAAAGAAAAUAAAUCCUGUUCAGGACAUGCUGCUCAACUAUGCCCUUGACCUUAGCAGACCUGGAGGUGAAAUUUCGGUCGAAGAGGGGGAUGUCUGCCUGACAAGGGAAGACUUUUGGAGCUUGGGUCUUCCUAGGAACAUGGAGUCCAAUGUAGGCAUAGGGAAGCUUUAACAUGUAGGGUAUUUUUGGGGGGAAAUAAUUGAAAAAGUUACUUUUGUUACUCUUUUUUUCAGAUCGGAAACUCAUGUUUCAAACUUGUGGCGGAGGCCGCGCGAAGACAUGUGAGGCUUUGUCAUUUGUUGACCUGUGAAACAUUGUAUUUUUUUCCAAAUAAUUUCAACAGUUUUGUAUUGCGAUUUUCCCAUGUGGUGCACUAAUUACUAUGAAUAUUUCAUCUCAAUCAAUACAGGGAAAAGACAUCCACGUCGUUGACGCAUAUGUGAUUCCAACUUGGAAGUCUGAAACAGUGGACCCUAUGGCUGGUCUUCCAGUACGUCAUUAUUUCCUGUAAGCUUCUGUGUAGUUUGAGACUGACCAACAGUAAAUGCCCAAAAAUGUGUUCAAAUUGCUAGGGUGACCUGCUGCAGAAGGACCUAAUCAUCCUCCCUGCCUGGAGCCGACAGCCAGGGAAAGCAGACCAAUAUGUGCUUUGCGUGAGUCUAUUACAGAUACUCUCAACCGGUGAAGUAAAAAUGAGCUGCAGUUUUGGGAUAUGUUUUCAUUCCUAAUUAUGGACUGUUUGUGAUCUGAGCUGUUCUGUGAAUGAUUUACGGGUCAUGAAACUAGCAGAUAGAGAGCUCAUUUUGCUGGACUCUCUAGAACCAGAAGGGUUUGGUGACAUUCGUUACCAGGACAUUUUUAGGUUUUGUAACAUAUGGACAGCUAUCAGCCCUGUUCUGUGGCUUGAAUGGAUAUUGUACAGAUUUCAUAGUAUUCUAUUGGCAAGGGUUGUCAACUGAUUUAGAUUCAAUUUCUAAUACAAUUCAUUCAAAAAACAAUAUGUCUGCAACCGGAUACAAUGAAAUAUAAUCAAGCCUCGUUCAAAGGCCAUUUUCAAGGUUAGCCCUGUUCAGUGGCUAUAAAUGCUAUUUUUGCUUGCAAUGGUAUUUCUGAAGUAAGGACACCUAAUAAUUUUGAUUGGUCUUCACAGGGACCUAGCACAGCGCAUUGCCCCAGGCCAAUGGAGAACUAAGCAUGGCAGAGACUUCGAGGUACAGUUCUUUCGUUUCAUGUACUUGCAUGUGCUUGUUUUUAUUUUCCUUUAGCCCAUGUCACGGUGGUAUUGCCUAUCUAACGCCUUGCCUAUGUCUUACAGGGUUUCCCGUGCCAAACCACUGGCAAUUAAUGUGGUGUCCUCAUCCUGAUGGUAAAUACCUUAUGUAGUCUCUAUUUAAGGUGUGUUGGUAUUAUUUGACACUGUCAUAGCUUCAUAUGUUUCCCUUUUACAGUACGCAUUCUGCACCUGCACAGAUGCUCCAUUUCUUUUCACCGAGGUCAGCAUUUUAUUUAUGGGACAAAGGAGACAUAAAACCAACACCACUGUGUUGUUUCUUUUUAACGUUGAUUUAUGGAGACUUUACUCGAAACAGUAACUGGCAUGCAAAAUGUUUAAUGUUGAGCAGAGAAGUUAUGAAGUACUGAUUUUGGCUGAUGUAGUACUCAACCUAAUGCAUAUAUUCUUCCAUUAAUUUUAGCUGGACAUGGCAGACAUCAGGAAAUGGUGGUGCAUUUCCCUGAUGGAACGUUUCCAGAUCGAUGGGUAUGACAGAACUUUGAAAGUAAUUUCUUAAUUUUUUUUUUUUUAUAAAUAGGUUUAACUAUUAUGUUACUAUCUCACUCAAAAGCCACGGACGGAGGCUUGCAUACUGGACCAAGGAGGCACGAGCAUUGCUCGCAGGGUUGCUGGAGCCAGUGUUUAGGGUCCCAAAGGCCAGAAAGACUGAACAUAAGGUUCAGUCUGAGAAGUCCGACCUGUGCUUCAUUUCGGAGUGAGGGGUUGAGAGAGAGAAGGAAGACGCUCUCUGCGAGCCAGAGAGAGCUUAGCUAGACCACGGGACGGACUGAACGAACAUUCGUCGUUGUCCAUUUGUUCAUGUACAUUGUGUUUAUUUGCCACGAACGGGAAAUAAACCGGAGUUCGCUUCAUUUUCACCAAGAACUGUGUCCUGACUCAUUGGAACCCGUUACAGCCCCAUUGCGUUUGAAACUGUUGUGUUAUCUAUGAAAUCUUCUUGAUCUUGCCUGACAUAUAUUUUACAGUUGCCAAAGUCAGUGUUGUCUGACAUCCUCACUGAGGUGGUACUCCAAGAGGGAGAUAAAGCUUACCCAACUCUGGCUCUGGUGUGUUCCACCUUCAGGGACAUAGUGUCCACUGACAAGUUCAAAAGACAGGCACAUUUUCUGUGGCUCAACAGUAAGUGCUUCAGUGAAGGGUGCAUCAGUGUACAAUAUCCUAAUUUAAUAUAAUAAUGUAAUGUCCUGUGGGGUCUAUACAUGUUUUUACUGCUCUAUAAAAAUAAAUGUGCUUUCAUCUUACACUUUGUUUGUCACAGGCGUCACUACAUGGUGUGUAGAGUAUCCGCCAACUACAGAGCAGAGUUCUACACCAUGUACAGUAUUGGGACCUGCAUGGCAUGUGGUCGGAUCUACAAAGUCUGCACAGGUUCUUAACUUCGAUAAUAGGGACUUUAAGCAGCAACGUUUUAUGGGAGGCAACGGCAUCGGGUUGCCGUAAUAUAACUCAAGUAUCACUUAGCCACUCUCUACUUGCUUGACAAAACACCCAUUCCUCCUUAUAAACAGACGGACUACUGGAACAGGAGGUGAUAACAUAAAUUCCAGAAUGCAAUAAGUUGUUCUCGAGGUAGCCCUCCACUCAACGGUUGCUGCUCCAAAUCCCUAAUCUUAUGCGUCAGUACAAGUGUUGAGGUCAUACCUGUAUAAACCGCAUGCAAAGUGUGUGGUUAGACUGAUUUCAUUUUUUAUUUCUGUUUUAGGAUAUAUUACAGGUACAGGGAAAAGAGGCAAACUGGAAGGAAUAUAUUCCGACAGCUACGACGGGGGGUACUGUGAUGACAUCUGCCGUCCAAGAUCAUAGGUACAUUUAAGUUGUAAAUAUGGAUACAAAUCCCUGACGAGACUAAUUGUAUGAAGUUGAAGGUCUCAAGAUAAAUACAUCUGCACACCUCUGCUUCUUUCAGAU
This is a long non-coding RNA of Gadus chalcogrammus (walleye pollock), 4732 nucleotides long. RefSeq lists it as uncharacterized. NCBI's taxonomy places the organism in Eukaryota, Metazoa, Chordata, Actinopteri, Gadiformes, Gadidae. The transcript has 5 exons. The record is from RefSeq and is a predicted model, not a curated record.